UUUAUGGAGAGUUUGAUCCUGGCUCAGGAUGAACGCUGGCGGCGUGCCUAAUACAUGCAAGUCGAGCGAACGGACGAGAAGCUUGCUUCUCUGAUGUUAGCGGCGGACGGGUGAGUAACACGUGGAUAACCUACCUAUAAGACUGGGAUAACUUCGGGAAACCGGAGCUAAUACCGGAUAAUAUUUUGAACCGCAUGGUUCAAAAGUGAAAGACGGUCUUGCUGUCACUUAUAGAUGGAUCCGCGCUGCAUUAGCUAGUUGGUAAGGUAACGGCUUACCAAGGCAACGAUGCAUAGCCGACCUGAGAGGGUGAUCGGCCACACUGGAACUGAGACACGGUCCAGACUCCUACGGGAGGCAGCAGUAGGGAAUCUUCCGCAAUGGGCGAAAGCCUGACGGAGCAACGCCGCGUGAGUGAUGAAGGUCUUCGGAUCGUAAAACUCUGUUAUUAGGGAAGAACAUAUGUGUAAGUAACUGUGCACAUCUUGACGGUACCUAAUCAGAAAGCCACGGCUAACUACGUGCCAGCAGCCGCGGUAAUACGUAGGUGGCAAGCGUUAUCCGGAAUUAUUGGGCGUAAAGCGCGCGUAGGCGGUUUUUUAAGUCUGAUGUGAAAGCCCACGGCUCAACCGUGGAGGGUCAUUGGAAACUGGAAAACUUGAGUGCAGAAGAGGAAAGUGGAAUUCCAUGUGUAGCGGUGAAAUGCGCAGAGAUAUGGAGGAACACCAGUGGCGAAGGCGACUUUCUGGUCUGUAACUGACGCUGAUGUGCGAAAGCGUGGGGAUCAAACAGGAUUAGAUACCCUGGUAGUCCACGCCGUAAACGAUGAGUGCUAAGUGUUAGGGGGUUUCCGCCCCUUAGUGCUGCAGCUAACGCAUUAAGCACUCCGCCUGGGGAGUACGACCGCAAGGUUGAAACUCAAAGGAAUUGACGGGGACCCGCACAAGCGGUGGAGCAUGUGGUUUAAUUCGAAGCAACGCGAAGAACCUUACCAAAUCUUGACAUCCUUUGACAACUCUAGAGAUAGAGCCUUCCCCUUCGGGGGACAAAGUGACAGGUGGUGCAUGGUUGUCGUCAGCUCGUGUCGUGAGAUGUUGGGUUAAGUCCCGCAACGAGCGCAACCCUUAAGCUUAGUUGCCAUCAUUAAGUUGGGCACUCUAAGUUGACUGCCGGUGACAAACCGGAGGAAGGUGGGGAUGACGUCAAAUCAUCAUGCCCCUUAUGAUUUGGGCUACACACGUGCUACAAUGGACAAUACAAAGGGCAGCGAAACCGCGAGGUCAAGCAAAUCCCAUAAAGUUGUUCUCAGUUCGGAUUGUAGUCUGCAACUCGACUACAUGAAGCUGGAAUCGCUAGUAAUCGUAGAUCAGCAUGCUACGGUGAAUACGUUCCCGGGUCUUGUACACACCGCCCGUCACACCACGAGAGUUUGUAACACCCGAAGCCGGUGGAGUA
This 1455-nucleotide ribosomal RNA is filed under the name Staphylococcus aureus. Its description in RNAcentral is "bacterial SSU rRNA". It matches the Rfam family "Bacterial small subunit ribosomal RNA". Lineage: Bacteria; Bacillati; Bacillota; Bacilli; Caryophanales; Staphylococcaceae. The record is from RNAcentral.